UAUUAAAAAGGGCUGUAUUUGUGUUUGUUUUGAUCCCAUUUCAUGCUGCCUGUCAAUUUGUGUCAAAGCCUGCAUUUCCGUGUGACGCCUGUUUUGGAGGUAGUGUCUCUUUCACUUGGGCAAAAGGCAUAGGAUUGACAAACAUUCUGCUGAUGGCAUUAAUCUGGUUUUUAAAUUACAAAUGUGCUUUAUUAUAAUGUGCAACUCCUGAUCAAUUAUAAACAGUUACAGGUUUCAUGAGCAAAUGACUCGUCCUACAUUUGAAAUGUCUAAUGAAAGUGGUGUGAUUUAAUCAUUCAGAUUUGUGCAGAAUCAACACAUCUGCAAAGGAAUACUCAUUACAAAUGUAUUAUGCAUAUCAAAAUGAGGAAAUCAAUAGGAUGAAAUGUAACAGAAUUUCAUUGGACCAAUGGACCAUUGUGAGAUUUCCCAUUCUUUUCUUCACAGUGAAGCAUUACCCUUCUCAUGAAUUAUUUGUAUGUAUUUUAUGGACAUGUACAACACAUAUAACUUAUUCACUUGGCAUCGUCUUGUAACAUUUAUAAUGAUUAAUACGAAAGGUGUAAAAAAGGCCCCCCUUGUGGACGCCAAGUAUGACACCCUUUACUGUGACUUUCUCUCUCCCUGCUGAUGACGCAUCGCUUCAACUAACGUUCAGCCAAUCAGCGUACAGUUUGGGCUUGCGAUAUUACGCUGUAGUAAUUCUACCGAAGACCCCGCUCUAACAGCGCCGAUUUAGUGAUCCAACCUUGUACUCACAGCUGUCCGUUUUAUGUGCGUCUUUGGCAAAACCACACAUACACAAAGUAUGUGCACUCGUCCUCCACCAUCCCGCUGGAUGACCUCACGCUGCUGUUUGCCAAUGCGGGCAUGAACCAGUUCAAGCCCAUCUUCCUCAACACCAUUGAUCCAUCCCACCCCAUGGCAAGGCUUCGUCGCGCAGCCAAUACUCAAAAGCGUAUCCGUGCGGGAGGAAAACACAACGACCUGGAUGAUGUGGGCAAAGAUGUUUACCACCACACAUUCUUUGAGAUGUUGGGAUCUUGGUCCUUUGGGGACUACUUUAAGCAUCUGGCCUGAUGUAGACGCACAUCCCACCUCCUCGCGACUUUCCCCCUCGUACAAUGGGCAGGUCCGCCCCAAAAGCACGCUAGCCGCUCUAGAUGCACAGCAGAGUCCGGAAUGAUGACGGUCAACCAAGUCCCAGUGAACACGAGCACACAGCAGUUACGCACUGUCCGGUUUGUAGAUCUCAGCAGGCGAAAGUAAACCAUGUUGAUGUCCAGCGACCAAACAUUCGCCAGAAGAAUGGAAGGCACGGUCGGGCGAGCUGGGUUGGCCGCCAGCUUGGCCCGGACGUCCCCGCUCUCGCCCCUGUUCAGCCUCCUCGCACACCGCUUCCGACGCUUCCCAACCGGGGGAGGAAUAGCAGGAGAGUCCGGCGACGCUUCAGGACGGAGCAGACCGAGCGCCUUUAGUGUCCCCGCAUCAAAGUCCAGAACGCCACAAAACUCGCUUUCGCCGAUGUCGAGCAGAACCAGCCCGCCGUACUUGUAGCACAACCCAGUACGACGAGACGAACACACAAAACUGUCGGACAAACCCACAUUAGACAGCAAAACAAAACAAAACACCGUUCGAGACAGAGAGAGGCCGCGGCGUGUGCACGCGCCGCCAUCUUACUGGAGGCCACAAUCUGUGUUUAUUUGCCUGUCGUAGUAUCACUGUUGCAGAAUAAUGUUUUGUUUUUGUGAAAGGGCAGCACCUGCCCUUGUAAUACUCAACCUUUCGCCCCACCCUUUGCAGCCUGCUAACAACAAAAAACACAUGCAGUAAAUAAGUAAAACACAAGCUCGCGGCACACGUGCUCCUGACGUCACGACCUUUUUCAUCGUAUACUGGACUUUGCUUUGGUUCCAAGCAGCUGUGGACAUCUCAGUAAAGUCACUGAGGCACCGGCCGAUGAGCCGCCUUGUGUCGGUGUCUAGGACGUCUGGGACAGCGGGGAGUUGAAGGACCGGCACCGGCGGGGAGCCUUCAUCCAUGUCGCCGUUUUCAGAAUGAUGCUCCGGUAGUUCGGCGUUCUCGUAUGCGGCCACGUCCAGCUGCAAAGGUCGUCCUUCCAUGACUGAAUUUGGAGGGAUGACAGCGUCCAUGAGUCCAACGUUGGAGUGUCUACUCGCCGGCAAAUCCUUGUCGCUUGUCGCUAGGCAACGGCUGGAUGUGAGUGGUCCUUCCUCGCUCGCGUCUUCGCCUCUAUUUAAGGCAAGUUCUGCGCAUGCGCUAGUCACAUCAAAGGACAUGAAAGAGUUUUCAGUUAUUCAAAGAAGCCAAUUUGUCAUAUUUGGUCACAUGUGCAAAACAGAAUAAUACAAAAAACUCCGGAGGGAUUUAACAGUUUUUUUUCCCCUUAAGUCAACAAAGCAGACCUGCGGUUGGUACUCAUCAGCCAUUAAGUCAAACAAACUUCUAUGCAGGUAAAAUAAAUCAAUUAACUAAUCAUUUAAAAAGAACACACACAAGCACACACACAAACCCGUUGACAACAAACGAGUUCGCGGCCCAGAGCUCUAUAUAUAUAUAUAUAAUCUUCUGUGUAGAAAAUCUUAUAAUAUAUAUAUGUAUACUUAUAUUCAUAGAUUAUAUAUAAUCUUAUACAAAUAUAAGAUAUAAUUUAUAAUAUUUAAUUCAUAAUAUUUUAUUAUAAUAAUAUUUACAUAUUUAAUAAUAAUCAUAAUAUUUAAUAUUUUAGGUCUAUUGCGUUAGUAAUUUCCUCCACUGAGUCAAUUAAUGCCAGUGAUGUUUCUCCGUUGGAGCUAAAUCCAUAUUGACUUUCAGUGAGUACUUUAUCUAUAAAUUUGACCAGUCGGUUAUUGAAAAGUUUUUCCAGUAUUUUAGAAAAUUGUGAUAGUAAUGAUACAGGUCUGUAGUUGGUGAAGUGGUGUUUGUUCCCGGUUUUAUACAAAAGGUAUGAUUUUUUGCUAUUUUCAUUUUAUCUGGAAAUAUACCGGUCUGAAAUGAUAGGUUACAGAUGUAUGUUAAUGGUUUAGAAAUGCCCUCAAUCACUCGUUUUACGGUAAUCAUAUCAAUGUCAUCACAAUCUCUGGAUGUCUUGUUUGUGCAUUGGGAAACUAUCUUUGUCAUUUCUUUCUCAUCCGCUGCUUUGAGGAACAUUGAGCUCAGAUUCCUAUCUAUUAAACUAUUACACUGCUCCUCAGUUGUUACUGAAUCUGGGAUUUGUUUGGCCAGAUCAGGUCCCACACUUACAAAGAAUGUAUUAAAGUUAUCAGCCACUCCUUGCAUAUCAUGCUUCGCAGUGUUAUUGAUAAUAAAAUAUUUGGGAUAAUGAAUUUUUUUUAGAGCCAUUUUUUAUUACAGUAUUCAUUAUAUUCCAUAUUUCUUUGGUGUUAUUUUUAUUAUCAUUUAAUAUCUUGCUAUAAGUAUUCUUUUCUAGCAGCUCUUUUAAUAUUAGUUAGUUUAUUCUUAAAUUGUUUGUAUUUAUUUUCUGACUCUUUAGUUCUCUGUCUUAUAAAUUCUCUGUAAAGUGUAUUUUUCUUUUUACAGGCAUUUUGUAAGCCCUUUAUGAUCCAAGGAUGAUCUACAAACUUUAGUUUCCUAUUAUUUACUUUUACAGGGCAGUAUUUGUCGUAUAACCUUUUGAAAAUGUUUAAGAAUUCCUCAUAUGCACAGUUAAUGUUAUUUUCAUUGUGUAUAGUAUCCCAGUUUUGUGACAUUAAACCAUUUUAAAAUGCG
Syngnathus typhle (broad-nosed pipefish) is the source of this 3753-nucleotide RNA transcript. It is a transcript of the gene named alanine--tRNA ligase, cytoplasmic-like, with no coding region annotated. The record is from RefSeq and is a predicted model, not a curated record. The transcript is spliced from 4 exons. Lineage: Eukaryota; Metazoa; Chordata; Actinopteri; Syngnathiformes; Syngnathidae.